GCCAGUGUGGCGGAAUUGGUAGACGCAGUGGACUCAAAAUCCACCGAAGUUUACUUCAUGCCGGUUCGAGUCCGGCCACUGGUACCA
RNAcentral lists this transfer RNA (87 nucleotides) under Turicibacter sp. RNAcentral's name for it is "tRNA-Leu". It matches the Rfam family "tRNA". Rfam says of the family: Transfer RNA (tRNA) molecules are approximately 80 nucleotides in length. Their secondary structure includes four short double-helical elements and three loops (D, anti-codon, and T loops). The record is from RNAcentral. Lineage: Bacteria; Bacillati; Bacillota; Erysipelotrichia; Erysipelotrichales; Turicibacteraceae. RNAcentral also lists the same sequence under 6 other names.